This 745-nucleotide non-coding RNA is filed under the name Pan troglodytes (chimpanzee). The record is from RNAcentral. Lineage: Eukaryota; Metazoa; Chordata; Mammalia; Primates; Hominidae.
GGGCUCCCCGCGCGGUGACCGUCGAGGUGACCUGCACCUGGCUCCAUGGCGGAACCGGCUGGCACGGAUUAUUCCCCUCUCGGGAGAGGUCUGCAGCCGGGCUUCAGUGCUUCAGUUCGUGGCCUGGCAUUUUGUGAAGAGUGUCUUCAUCUCUGCAUCCCUAGUGCAACAGAGCAUGAUAAAAAUUCAAUAAAUAUUUAUUGAAGAGUCUUGUUGUCUUUUGGGAAAGGAACUCUAUGGUUACCUUUACUCUAAGGCAUUGUGAAGACCCUGUUUCUCUAGCUGUGCAGCCGCAAGGUCACUAGGCAGAUAAACUCAAGCCAUAAAACAUGUUUUUCCUUGAAAAAUUAGAUGGGUGUUACUGAUUCUUACCUCAGAGAAGAGAAUGUCAUGGAGACAAAAUGAUCUGCUUAGAGUUCUGCACCCCCCAGCAUGGAGAGCAGAGCGCAAAGAUUUCUUCCGGACUCUCACAUUCCCCUUGGAAUCCAAGAACUGGUCUACUGUCACAACACUUUAGUACCCUCUUAGAUGGGGAUCUCACUCUGUUUCCCAGGCUGGUCUCAAACUCCUGGCUUCAAGCAAUCCUCCUGCUUUGGCCUCCCAAACUUCUGGGAUUACAGAUAUGAGCCACCACGGCUGGCUGACAGGCACCAAAUUCUAGGAGAGGACUUCAAUAGACUCCCAAGGAGGCAGCAGAAACUGGGGUAAUCACAACGGUCAACAGCAGCAAAGGCAGCACUUUCUG